CCCGCCGGCAAUUGCCGGAGCAUGGUCUGCGCGAUCGCGGUGACCUGCGCGUUGGCGGUGCGGAUAUCGACGUUCGGCUGGAAGAAGAUCUUGAUGACGCCGUAGGUGUUGUAGGAAUUGGCGACGAUGUGUUCGAUGUCGUUGACCGUCGUGGUCAGCGCGCGCUGGAACGGCGUCACGAUGCGUCCAGACAUCUGGUCGGGCGGCAGGCCGGUGUACUGCCAUACCACGCCGAUCACCGGGAUGCGGAUUUCAGGGAAGAUGUCGGUCGGCGUUCGCAGGGCCGCGAGCGGCCCGACGAUCAGAAGAAGAAGAGCCAGCACGACGAAAGUAUAGGGUCGGCUCAGCGCAAUCCGGACGAGCGCAUUCAUAUCGGACUUUUCUCGGUCGUUUCGGGCGCAACAGUAGACCCGCAGGAAAGACCUGUUCCG
Molecule: unclassified non-coding RNA, 431 nt
Filed under: Hevea brasiliensis (rubber tree)
Lineage: Eukaryota; Viridiplantae; Streptophyta; Magnoliopsida; Malpighiales; Euphorbiaceae
Source: RNAcentral